GCCUCCGUAGCUCAGUUGGAUAGAGCAACCGCCUUCUAAGCGGUCGGUCGCAGGUUCGAGCCCUGCCGGGGGCG
This 74-nucleotide transfer RNA is filed under the name Acidimicrobiales bacterium. RNAcentral's name for it is "tRNA-Arg". It matches the Rfam family "tRNA". From Rfam's summary of the family: Transfer RNA (tRNA) molecules are approximately 80 nucleotides in length. Their secondary structure includes four short double-helical elements and three loops (D, anti-codon, and T loops). RNAcentral also lists the same sequence under 1 other name. The record is from RNAcentral. Lineage: Bacteria; Bacillati; Actinomycetota; Acidimicrobiia; Acidimicrobiales.